CUAACAAGGAUUCCCCUAGUAACGGCGAGUGAAGCGGGAAGAGCUCAAAUUUGUAAUCUGGCGGUCUCCGGCCGUCCGAGUUGUAGUCUGGAGAAGCGUCUUCCGCGCCGGACCGUGUACAAGUCCCUUGGAACAGGGCGUCGUAGAGGGUGAGAAUCCCGUCUUUGACACGGACUACCGGUGCUUUGUGAUGCGCUCUCAAAGAGUCGAGUUGUUUGGGAAUGCAGCUCAAAAUGGGUGGUAAAUUCCAUCUAAAGCUAAAUAUUGGCGAAAGACCGAUAGCGAACAAGUACCGUGAGGGAAAGAUGAAAAGCACUUUGGAAAGAGAGUUAAACAGUACGUGAAAUUGUUGAAAGGGAAACGCUUGAAGUCAGUCGCGUCUUCCGGGACUCAACCUCGCUUUUGCUUGGUGCAUUUCCCGAAUGACGGGCCAGCAUCGAUUUUGACCGUUGGAGAAAGGCUUUGGGAAUGUGGCACCUUCGGUGUGUUAUAGCCCUCGGUCGUAUGCCACGGUUGGGAUCGAGGAUCGCAACACGCCUUUUUUGGCCGGGGUUCGCCCACGUAACGUGCUUARGAUGCUGGCGUAAUGGCUUUAACCGACCCGUCUU
RNAcentral lists this ribosomal RNA (608 nucleotides) under Ramaria apiculata. RNAcentral describes it as "eukaryotic LSU rRNA". It matches the Rfam family "Eukaryotic large subunit ribosomal RNA", at positions 65 to 655 of the family's 3401-position model. The record is from RNAcentral. Lineage: Eukaryota; Fungi; Basidiomycota; Agaricomycetes; Gomphales; Gomphaceae.